RNAcentral lists this transfer RNA (87 nucleotides) under Dokdonella koreensis DS-123. It matches the Rfam family "tRNA". Rfam says of the family: Transfer RNA (tRNA) molecules are approximately 80 nucleotides in length. The record is from Rfam by way of RNAcentral. Lineage: Bacteria; Pseudomonadati; Pseudomonadota; Gammaproteobacteria; Lysobacterales; Rhodanobacteraceae.
GGAGAGGUGUCCGAGUGGUUGAAGGAGCACGCCUGGAAAGUGUGUAAACGGGUAACCGUUUCGCGGGUUCGAAUCCCGCUCUCUCCG